AUCGACGGCGGUGUUUGGCACCUCGAUGUCGGCUCAUCACAUCCUGGGGCUGAAGCCGGUCCCAAGGGUAUGGCUGUUCGCCAUUUAAAGNGGUACGCGAGCUGGGUUUAGAACGUCGUGAGACAGUUCGGUCCCUAUCUGCCGUGGGCGUUGGAGAUUUGAGAGGAGCUGCUCCUAGUACGAGAGGACCGGAGUGGACGAACCUCUGGUGUUCCGGUUGUCACGCCAGUGGCACUGCCGGGUAGCUACGUUCGGACGGGAUAACCGCUGAAAGCAUCUAAGCGGGAAGCCUCCCUCAAGAUGAGAUCUCCCUGGGCACUUGAUGCCCCUGAAGGGCCGUGGAAGACCACCACGUUGAUAGGCGGGAUGUGGACGCGCUGUGAGGCGUGAAGCUAACCCGUACUAAUUGCCCGUGCGGCUUGACCAUAUAACGCCAAAGCGGUCAC
This 446-nucleotide ribosomal RNA is filed under the name Alcanivorax sp. Its description in RNAcentral is "bacterial LSU rRNA". It matches the Rfam family "Bacterial large subunit ribosomal RNA", at positions 2504 to 2925 of the family's 2925-position model. The record is from RNAcentral. Lineage: Bacteria; Pseudomonadati; Pseudomonadota; Gammaproteobacteria; Oceanospirillales; Alcanivoracaceae.